This 362-nucleotide ribosomal RNA is filed under the name uncultured eukaryote. Its description in RNAcentral is "SSU rRNA". It matches the Rfam family "Eukaryotic small subunit ribosomal RNA", at positions 587 to 972 of the family's 1831-position model. The record is from RNAcentral.
AGCUCCAAUAGCGUAUAUUAAAGUUGUUGCAGUUAAAAAGCUCGUAGUUGAACUUUGGGCCUGGGCGGGCGGUCUACCUAUGGUUUGUACUGCUGCGGCCGGGUCUUUCCUUCUGGCUACCCCUCCGGGGGGAACCAGGACGAUUACUUUGAGGAAAUUAGAGUGUUCAAAGCAGGCCUUUGCUCGGAUAUAUUAGCAUGGAAUAAUAGAAUAGGACGUAUGGUUCUAUUUUGUUGGUUUCUAGGACCAUCGUAAUGAUUAAUAGGGACGGUCGGGGGCAUCAGUAUUCAGUCGUCAGAGGUGAAAUUCUUGGAUUGACUGAAGACUAACUACUGCGAAAGCAUUUGCCAAGGACGUUUUCA